GACGAACGCUGGCGGCGUGCUUAACACAUGCAAGUCGAACGGAAAGGCCCUGCUUUUGUGGGGUGCUCGAGUGGCGAACGGGUGAGUAACACGUGAGUAACCUGCCCUUGACUUUGGGAUAACUUCAGGAAACUGGGGCUAAUACCGGAUAGGAGCUCCUGCUGCAUGGUGGGGGUUGGAAAGUUUCGGCGGUUGGGGAUGGACUCGCGGCUUAUCAGCUUGUUGGUGGGGUAGUGGCUUACCAAGGCUUUGACGGGUAGCCGGCCUGAGAGGGUGACCGGCCACAUUGGGACUGAGAUACGGCCCAGACUCCAACGGGAGGCAGCAGUGGGGAAUAUUGCACAAUGGGCGGAAGCCUGAUGCAGCAACGCCGCGUGCGGGAUGACGGCCUUCGGGUUGUAAACCGCUGUCGCCUGUGACGAAGCGUGAGUGACGGUAAUGGGUAAAGAAGCACCGGCUAACUACGUG
This 468-nucleotide ribosomal RNA is filed under the name uncultured bacterium. Its description in RNAcentral is "partial 16S ribosomal RNA". It matches the Rfam family "Bacterial small subunit ribosomal RNA", at positions 28 to 507 of the family's 1533-position model. The record is from RNAcentral.